AGACCCAUGCCUCACCUUUCCAUCAGAUCCAAAGGUGGCGAAGGAAGUGAUUUCUGUUGUGAGAAUAGCACUUGCAUGUUCACGUAGUCACCCACAAUCUCGUCCAACUAUGCAUCAAGUAUUAGAAGAGCUACUUGUUAUCCGACCAUCAUCUAUGGAGCAUUUUCAUACAGUUUCUGUAGGUGACCUAAAUGAUAUUGACGUGCAAUAAUUGUGAUCGAAGAUUCAUUUGACCUACAGGGGAUUGAGGCGAUUCAUUUCAGACUACACUCAAAAUUAAACAAUAGUUCUCAAGGAUGUGUUUUUGGAAGGCAAGCAUUUUAUGGCUAUGAUGCCCAUGUAAAGAAGAAACCUCUUAGAAAGACAUAAAAUUGGUAGUUGUGUUGUGGUUCUUGGAAGAAGAACAAAGAUUGUGAAAAAAGAUAUAAGGGGACAAAAGGAAAUAUCUUCGACAUAAGCAUCCUACCCCUGACUUGGCAUGACUCACAUUGGCUCAUAUAAUCAAAUUAAUGUAGAAGUAGUUGAGUUGUGGCACCUGAACAGAGAACUCCUGCUGCAGAAGAGGAAUCUCGCAUGCCAACUUUCUUCUGGAUAAUCCCAAUUGGCUGUCGUUGCAGGGGUUUCUAAGUGUGAUUAGAUGUCUACUAUAGGAAGAGUGUGAGACCAAUUGAGAUUGAGGUUUGUUUUUCUGAUUUUGUCCA
Molecule: long non-coding RNA, 701 nt
Organism: Macadamia integrifolia
Lineage: Eukaryota; Viridiplantae; Streptophyta; Magnoliopsida; Proteales; Proteaceae
Exons: 3
Source: RefSeq, a predicted model, not a curated record